UUCUUGAAGAGUUUGAUUCUGGCUCAGUCUGAACGCUGGCGGCAUGGCUAAUGCAUGCAAGUCGAGCGAACCUUCGGGUUAGCGGCGAACGGGUUAGGAAUACAAUCGAAUGUGCCCUGAGGUGGGGGAUAGCUGCGGGAAACUGCAAGUAAUACCCCAUGUGCUCUACGGAGGAAAGGUUUACCGCCUUGGGAUCGGCGAUUGUCCUAUCAGGUAGUUGGUAAGGUCACGGCUUACCAAGCCUAAGACGGGUAGCGGAUGUGAGAGCAUGAUCCGCAACAUCGGGACUGAGACACUGCCCGGACUCCUACGGGAGGCUGCAGCGACGAAUCUUCCGCAAUGGGCGAAAGCCUGACGGAGCAAUGCCGCGUGUGGGAUGAAGCAGCUCUGCUGUGUAAACCACUGUCAGAUCUUAGGAACACUGACCAAGAUCAAAGGAAGGGCCGGCUAAACUCGUGCCAGCAGCCGCGGUAAUACGAGUGGCCCAAGCGUUAGACGGAAUUACUGGGCUUAAAGAGUUCGUAGGCGGACUCGCAGGCGUCUUGUGAAAUCCCACAGCUCAACUGUGGAACUGCAGGGCGAACCGCGGGUCUUGAGGCAAGUAGGGGCAGAUAGAACUGUGGGUGGAGCGGUGAAAUGCAUAGAUAUCCACAGGAACGCCAAUGGCGAAGGCAGUCUGCUGGGCUUGUUCUGACGCUGAGGAACGAAAGCGUGGGGAUCAAACAGGAUUAGAUACCCUGGUAGUCCACGCCGUAAACAAUGCGCACUAGGUCGUGGCGGUACUGAAGCCGUCGCGACCGUAGCAAAAGCGUUAAGUGCGCCGCCUGGGGAGUACGGUCGCAAGGCUAAAACUCAAAGAAAUUGA
This 865-nucleotide ribosomal RNA is filed under the name Phycisphaerales bacterium. Its description in RNAcentral is "bacterial SSU rRNA". It matches the Rfam family "Bacterial small subunit ribosomal RNA", at positions 1 to 913 of the family's 1533-position model. Lineage: Bacteria; Pseudomonadati; Planctomycetota; Phycisphaerae; Phycisphaerales. The record is from RNAcentral.